RNAcentral lists this ribosomal RNA (1263 nucleotides) under Triticum aestivum (bread wheat). RNAcentral describes it as "partial small subunit ribosomal RNA". Lineage: Eukaryota; Viridiplantae; Streptophyta; Magnoliopsida; Poales; Poaceae. The record is from RNAcentral.
AUGGAGCUCAAGAAGAGCUCGGUUUUGAAUUUCCCGCCGUCGAAAGAUUCAACCGCUUUCACCACCAAUGCUACGUCGUGCCACUACGUGUUCCUCGUCGAGGACGAGUGGUUCACCUACACCGACCGUGUCUUCCUCAACCGCACCAACGACUUCGCCGUGGCCCUCGUACUGGACUGGGCCCUCCGCAACGUCGGCAACUGCAGCGCUGCCGGGCAAAACGAGGCCGACUUCGCCUGCCGGAGCGUGGGCAGCCAGUGCGUUGACGCAACCAAUGGCCCCGGGUACCGGUGCAGCUGCCCCAAGGGCUACAACAGCAACCCUUACCUCCAUGGUGGAUGCGCGUACAUCGACGAGUGCCAUCUGAAAGACGAAUACCGGUGCUAUGGCGUGUGCACAAACACGCCGGGGAGCCACACUUGCCAAUGCCCACCGGGUACAAGUGGAGGUGCCACCGCCAAGAACGGCUGCCGGACAAAGGACAAUUUCACCUUAGCUCUGAAAGCCGUUAUAGGAGUCAGUGUUGGGGUGUUCUUGUCGGUGUUCAUGUGCUCCUGGCUCUACCUGGGGCUCCAGAAGAGGAAACUGAUCAAAUCAAAGCGGAACUUCUUCGAGCACAAUGGAGGCGUCAUCUUGCAGCAGCAGAUGCGUUCCAAUAGAGGUACCUCUGUAGGAGGCAGCGGCGGGUUCAAGAUAUUCUCGGAAGAAGAGCUUGAGAAGGCCACCAACAACUUCGCCACAGACCAGGUCCUCGGACGCGGCGGCCAUGGCAUAGUCUACAUGGGCGUUUUGGAGGACGAGACUAUGGUGGCGAUCAAGAAGUCUAAGAUGAUGGAGGAGUCCGAUAUCAAGGAGUUCACGAUGGAGAUGCUCAUUCUCUCCCAGAUCAACCACCGUAAUGUCGUGAAGCUGCUCGGUUGCUGCCUUGACGUGGAGGUGCCGAUGCUGGUCUAUGAGUACGUCUCAAACGGAACCCUCUACCACUUCCUCCAUGGAAAGGACCUUAACACCGACACGACCUCGGACACCCGUCUCCGGAUAGCGGCGGAGUCGGCGGAGGCGUUGGCAUACAUGCACUCAUCGGCCUCGCCGCCGAUCCUCCAUGGAGAUGUCAAGACCGCCAACAUCCUCCUCGACAACAAUCUAACCGCCAAAGUCUCGGACUUUGGGGCAUCAAUGUUGGCACCAAGCGACGAGGUUCAAAUCGCAACAUUGGUGCAGGGCACUUGCGGGUACCUGGACCCGGAGUACCUCAUGACGUGA